GGGAUCCUCAGAGGACAAGGGAGGGCUGGACACAGAGGCAAGGAUCCACACAGAAAGGAGGUGAGGAGGUGGUGGCAGGGACGGCUUCUACUAGCCAAGGAUGGCCUGUGGCCACCAGUUAGGAGCUGAGGGGAGCCUGGGAUAGAAGGAACCAGCCCUGCCCUCAGCUGGAUCUCAGACUCCUGGCCUCCAGAGCAGAGAGAGAGUAAUCUGUUUUUUCAUGCCCUCCCAGUCUGUGCUGGUCCUUUCCGGCAGCUCCAGGGAACUAACCUCACGCGUCCCCUGUGCCCCCCAAGCACAGCUAAGCAGGACUCCUAAGCUAAACAGCUGCUGAAAUAGGUUUCAGUUUCUGCUCUGCAUUUCUUCAGGGAGGGAGAGGGGCUUGCAUUCCUUCAUUCCUUGAGACAGAGGCUUGGGAGCCCCAUCUGCCUUUUGGAGUCUAUUCAAAGGCAGCUCCAGGACCCCUUUGUGACUCACCCCACGAGGCAGGGUCCCCUAGCUCAGCACUUCAUGCUGCCUGUCAUGCUGGCUGGAGCGUCAUCCCAUACUCCCACAUCUGUCCUUCCUGGUGGACAGAGAGCUCCAGGGACAGGGAACAGAGCUGGCCAGGGGGACACAGAUGCCAUUCCCACCAGCUCUCCACUGCUGCUUCCUGCAGGAUGGGAGCACGGAAACACUCCUUAAGGUUCACCCUGAGAGCCACAAUACAGAGAUGGAGGGCAGACCGAGGAUUCUCCCUGGUUUGCAAGGCCCAGAAACAUCCCGACAAACAGGCACAGAGGGAGGCAUUUCUCCUAAAACCCCUGGCUCAGCAGCAGCUCCAUUCCGGUCAGAACAGCUUCGGAGUCAGACUUGAAUUCAGGUCGUGGCUGCCCCACCGUGCAUGGGGACUCUGGUGCCUCACUCACAGACGUCUUGAUGGUUGCCCAUGGCAGUCCAAGACAAUUCCACUGUGGGUGUUUCUGGACCUCUGCUAUGAAGAUGCUAUAUCCCAAGAAUGUACUGGAAAUAUCCAAGAGACAAAGGUCCCAGAGGAACAAAUGGACUUUGAAGUCACACAAAUCUACAUCCAAGCCAAACUCUGAGUGUAAAGUGGAAUAAGUACACUCUUCCUUGCCUCUCUCACUGCAUGUAGCUAUAAACCCUGCACAGAAUAUGUGGAGAAGCUCUGUGAGGGCUCUGAAGCACAAACAUCAGGAAGAUGGAAGAAGAUCAGAAGUCAAAGUAUCAUAGAACUUGUGAUGAGUUUACCAUUUUUUAUUCCUCUGGUAUCUUCUAGUCUAGACCCAUUCCAGCCCAGAAGUGAGCAGUGACAAGGACAGAAGCUCCAGAAGUUCUCUAGCUCUGUUUGGAGGAGUGGGUCUCUAACACUCAAGAAAAUAGAGGAAAUGUACCAUUUUUUUCUUUCUUCCAGUCUCAUACCCCAAAUUCCAAGCAUUCCCACUGUGGCAACAGCAAUAGCAGCAUCAGUGAGAACCCAAAGGAGCCUAAAAUCCUGCAGGAGAAUCUUCUCCAAUUAGGGAAGCUGUGGUCUUAAAACAGUGGAAUAGAUCCCACUGCUUUUAUUAUUUCUUUGUCUUCUCACAAUUUAGCCCAAAAUUUGUUGUAGGAAGUCCAUGCCUGGGAAGAAUAAAUAAAGCCCUAAAUUUAUGGCCA
Vulpes vulpes (red fox) is the source of this 1656-nucleotide long non-coding RNA. Lineage: Eukaryota; Metazoa; Chordata; Mammalia; Carnivora; Canidae. The record is from Ensembl.